This 349-nucleotide ribosomal RNA is filed under the name uncultured Coriobacteriales bacterium. RNAcentral's name for it is "partial 16S ribosomal RNA". Lineage: Bacteria; Bacillati; Actinomycetota; Coriobacteriia; Coriobacteriales. The record is from RNAcentral.
GGAGUUUGGACCGUCUCUCAGUUCCAAUGUGGCCGAUCACCCUCUCAGGUCGGCUACCGAUCGUCGACUUGGUGGGCCGUUACCUCACCAACUAUCUAAUCGGACGCGAGCCCACCCCAAACCGGUUUGCACCUUUUACCUCUGCACCAUGUGAUGCCGUGGUCUUAUGCGGUAUUAGCACCUGUUUCCAAGUGUUAUCCCCCUGUCUGGGACAGGUUGCUCACGCGUUACUCACCCGUCCGCCACUCGAAUCAAUCCUUCCGGCCGAAGCUUUCCAAAUUGAUCCUCGUUCGACUUGCAUGUGUUAAGCACGCCGCCAGCGUUCGUCCUCGAGCCAUGAUCAAACUCU